This 253-nucleotide ribosomal RNA is filed under the name uncultured bacterium. RNAcentral describes it as "partial 16S ribosomal RNA". It matches the Rfam family "Bacterial small subunit ribosomal RNA", at positions 524 to 776 of the family's 1533-position model. The record is from RNAcentral.
UACGUAGGGGGCAAGCGUUGUCCGGAUUUAUUGGGCGUAAAGAGCGUGUAGGCGGCUAGAUAGGUCCGUUGUGAAAACUCGAGGCUCAACCUCGAGACGUCGAUGGAAACCAUCUGGCUAGAGUCCGGAAGAGGAGAAUGGAAUUCCCGGUGUAGCGGUGAAAUGCGCAGAUAUCGGGAGGAACACCGGUGGCGAAGGCGGUUCUCUGGGCCUUACCUGACGCUGAGGAGCGAAAGCGUGGGGAGCGAACAGG